AAACGUGUAGCGCGAGCGCGACACGGGGAGCUUGAGUGUCUUGGCAUAGCCAUGACUUUUCUCAUUCCUAAAAAGCAUGAGGAAUAAGUGCUGGGUAAGACGGGUGCCAGCCGCCGCGGUAACACCCGCAGCACGAGUAGUGGUCACUUUUAUUGAGCCUAAAGCGUUCGUAGCCGGUUUUGUAAAUCUUCGGAUAAAGCCUGAAGCUUAACUCCAGAAAGUCUGAAGAGACUGCAAGACUUGAGAUCGGGUGAGGUUAAACGUACUUUUAGGGUAGGGGUAAAAUCCUGUAAUCCCGGAAGGACGACCAGUGGCGAAAGCGUUUAACUAGAACGAAUCCGAAGGUAAGAAACGAAGGCUAGGGUAGCAAACCGGAUUAGACACCGGGUAGUCCUAGCUGUAAACAUUGCCCAUUUGAUGUUGCUUUUCCGUUGAGGGAAGGCAGUGUCGGAGCGAAGGUGUUAAAUGGGCCGCUUGGGAAGUAUGGUCGCAAGACUGAAA
Molecule: ribosomal RNA, 501 nt
Filed under: uncultured archaeon
Lineage: Archaea
Description: bacterial SSU rRNA
Rfam family: Archaeal small subunit ribosomal RNA
Source: RNAcentral